GAACACGAUUUAGAAUUGCAAAGUCAAGUGGAUUUCCGUAAGGAAAUGACUUGGGGAAAUUCCCCGGACACCAAGGUAGAGAGUACCAGCGUUAGCUCGUGGUCCCCUCGCUAUGAAGCCUCUGUGGGCGACGAAGGGUAUCUUUUCGAAGAUAUCUGGAGCUUCUAUGGUGAAUUUGGCGAGAAUGAUUGUCCGAAUAAAAGUUAUGCAAUUGGCUUCAUGAUCCUGGCAGAGUCGUGCUGUCUUCAUGUGUAAGCUAACUCGACGGGGAUUACUCAAAUCGUGUU
RNAcentral lists this RNase MRP RNA (287 nucleotides) under Albugo candida. RNAcentral's name for it is "RNase MRP". It matches the Rfam family "RNase MRP". Rfam says of the family: RNase MRP is an enzymatically active ribonucleoprotein with two distinct roles in eukaryotes. In mitochondria it plays a direct role in the initiation of mitochondrial DNA replication. Lineage: Eukaryota; Oomycota; Peronosporomycetes; Albuginales; Albuginaceae. The record is from Rfam by way of RNAcentral.